RNAcentral lists this transfer RNA (91 nucleotides) under Candidatus Woesearchaeota archaeon. RNAcentral's name for it is "tRNA-OTHER". It matches the Rfam family "tRNA". From Rfam's summary of the family: Transfer RNA (tRNA) molecules are approximately 80 nucleotides in length. Their secondary structure includes four short double-helical elements and three loops (D, anti-codon, and T loops). The record is from RNAcentral. Lineage: Archaea; Nanobdellati; Candidatus Woesearchaeota.
GGGUCCGUAGCUCAGCCUGGUAGAGCGCUUGCGAUAUUAUUCAGCGAAACUCUUAAUCAAGCGGUCGCGAGUUCGAAUCUCGUCGGACCCG